Long non-coding RNA from Anolis carolinensis (green anole), 1090 nucleotides. RefSeq lists it as uncharacterized. The transcript is spliced from 3 exons. The record is from RefSeq and is a predicted model, not a curated record. NCBI's taxonomy places the organism in Eukaryota, Metazoa, Chordata, Lepidosauria, Squamata, Anolidae.
AGCAGGACUCCCAUAAAUUUGAAGGAGGCAUGCGAACCAUGGCACCUCGUAGGAGGCCAGCCUUAAUUUAGGCUUUCCAAAGUUAUGCGUUGGAAUUCUUUUUUCCCCCCACUGGACUUUUAGCAUUACAGCCUAAUUCUGUAUCGCGGCAGCUUACAGAUUUUCAGCCCUUGCCUAUUGUAAAGUGUGUUUCUGGGGGAACCAAUUACUUUGGCACUAUAUGAAGUCUUGCAGUGCGCUGCUAUAAACGUAGGUUUUAAUAAUGAAAAUAUAAAGAGUGAUUCAUUACCCCUGUAGUUCACUUGCUUUUUUAACUUUUUGCUUCUCGCAGCCUAAUUUGAUCCAGAGUACACCCAUGUUUGUUGCCAUAUUCUGCAAGAUGUGAGACGUAACAGAGGGCGCACUGAAAUACAUGCAGAGAGGACAUGACAAGACUCUUAUAGGUGGAAAAGAAAAGAAGCUGUCCCACCCAGAAAGCCUCUGGAAGAAAUGCUGUAUGAAGGACAAGAAUCUGAUAGGAAAGGAGGUAUAGAAGCUGAUCAGACUGGUAACUGAACCUUUCUUCAAACAGCAACUGUAGGGUAAGAUCCUCUUCAACAUCCAAGGCCAGUCUAUGACAUCCCAUUACCACCUGAGAUGGUCGCCUGGCAGGUAUCUACUAUGCAUCCUUUCAGCCUUAGUUCUUCAUGGAAAUAGGAGGAGAAGCACCACCCAAAUGGUCUGAAGGACAAACAGGAUGGGCCAUUAAAAAACAAAUAAUUCAGCCUUGCAAAUAAUCCUACACCAAAUGCCAGCUCCCAAAAUGUUUACCAGCACACCUGAGCACAUGGGCCUGUUUUAAACAUUGGUGUCUUUCAAGAUCAACAACAAUCCAGGAUUUCAAACUUUCUAUGGCUGGUGUCCUGAGAAUGAAGCUGACAAACAGCAGGGGGUCCGAGUAAGUGGCGAGUUGCAAGCCUGAAUGAAGCACAUUUCAAUGGCGGAGCAGGAGAAGCAAUUGACCCAGAUAGCAUCCAGAUGAAACACAGGCAGCAGAGCCAAGAAAAGCUGAAUUUAGCAACUGGAAUAAAUUAUGCAAGCUAAUGUUGUA